This 460-nucleotide ribosomal RNA is filed under the name uncultured bacterium. RNAcentral's name for it is "bacterial SSU rRNA". It matches the Rfam family "Bacterial small subunit ribosomal RNA", at positions 28 to 507 of the family's 1533-position model. The record is from RNAcentral.
GAUGAACGUUGGCGGUGUGCCUAAUACAUGCAAGUCGAACGGAGUUAGUAGCAAUACUGGCUCAGUGGCGAACGGGUGAGUAACGCGUUGGUGAUCUGCCUUGAAGUGUGGAAUAACGUUUCGAAAAAGACGCUAAUACCGCAUGUGCUCUCGUAUUUUCAGAAAGUUGAGAGUAAAGGAUUUAUUCGCUUCAAGAGGAGCCUGCGUCCCAUCAGCUGGUUGGUAGGGUAACGGCCUACCAAGGCUAUGACGGGUAGGGGACCUGAGAGGGUGGCCCCCCACAAUGGAACUGAAACACGGUCCAUACACCUACGGGUGGCAGCAGUAGGGAAUAUUAGAAAUGGACGAAAGUCUGAUCUAGCAACACCGCGUGUGCGAAGAAGGCCUUCGGGUCGUAAAGCACUUUUUGGAAGGAAUAGGAAGGAAUGUACUUCCAGAAUAAGUCUCGGCUAACUACGUG